RNAcentral lists this ribosomal RNA (468 nucleotides) under uncultured bacterium. RNAcentral describes it as "partial 16S ribosomal RNA". It matches the Rfam family "Bacterial small subunit ribosomal RNA", at positions 28 to 507 of the family's 1533-position model. The record is from RNAcentral.
GACGAACGCUGGCGGCGUGCUUAACUCAUGCAAGUCGAACGGAAAGGCCCUGCUUUUGUGGGGUGCUCGAGUGGCGAACGGGUGAGUAACACGUGAGUAACCUGCCCUUGACUUUGGGAUAACUUCAGGAAACUGGGGCUAAUACCGGAUAGGAGCUCCUGCUGCAUGGUGGGGGUUGGAAAGUUUCGGCGGUUGGGGAUGGACUCGCGGCUUAUCAGCUUGUUGGUGGGGUAGUGGCUUACCAAGGCUUUGACGGGUAGCCGGCCUGAGAGGGUGACCGGCCACAUUGGGACUGAGAUACGGCCCAGACUCCUACGGGAGGCAGCAGUGGGGAAUAUUGCACAAUGGGCGGAAGCCUGAUGCAGCAACGCCGCGUGCGGGAUGACGGCCUUCGGGUUGUAAACCGCUUUCGCCUGUGACGAAGCGUGAGUGGCGGUAAUGGGUAAAGAAGCACCGGCUAACUACGUG